RNAcentral lists this ribosomal RNA (467 nucleotides) under uncultured bacterium. RNAcentral describes it as "partial 16S ribosomal RNA". It matches the Rfam family "Bacterial small subunit ribosomal RNA", at positions 28 to 507 of the family's 1533-position model. The record is from RNAcentral.
GACGAACGCUGGCGGCGUGCUUAACACAUGCAAGUCGAACGGAAAGGCCUCUUUCGGGGGGUACUCGAGUGGCGAACGGGUGAGUAACACGUGAGUAGCCUGCCCUUGACUUUGGGAUAACUUCAGGAAACUGGGGCUAAUACCGGAUAGGAGCUCCUGCUGCAUGGUGGGGGUUGGAAAGUUUCGGCGGUUGGGGAUGGACUCGCGGCUUAUCAGCUUGUUGGUGGGGUAGUGGCUUACCAAGGCUUUGACGGGUAGCCGGCCUGAGAGGGUGACCGGCCACAUUGGGACUGAGAUACGGCCCAGACUCCUACGGGAGGCAGCAGUGGGGAAUAUUGCACAAUGGGUGGAAGCCUGAUGCAGCAACGCCGUGUGCGGGAUGACGGCCUUCGGGUUGUAAACCGCUUUCGCUCAUGACGAAGCUUUAUGUGACGGUAGUGGGUAAAGAAGCACCGGCUAACUACGUG